This 160-nucleotide small nuclear RNA is filed under the name Oryza punctata. RNAcentral's name for it is "U1 spliceosomal RNA". It matches the Rfam family "U1 spliceosomal RNA". Rfam says of the family: U1 is a small nuclear RNA (snRNA) component of the spliceosome (involved in pre-mRNA splicing). Its 5' end forms complementary base pairs with the 5' splice junction, thus defining the 5' donor site of an intron. The record is from Rfam by way of RNAcentral. Lineage: Eukaryota; Viridiplantae; Streptophyta; Magnoliopsida; Poales; Poaceae.
AUACUUACCUGAACGGGAUCAAUGGGUAAUCAAGAAGGCUCAUGGCCUAGAUUAUUGGCCUCCAUUGCACUUGGGAGGAACGCUCAUCUACCAUCUCCCCAAGCGGGAGAGUGGACGUCAAAAUUUGUGGUAGAGGAGGUACGCGUCCGUGCGACCCCUA